Molecule: transfer RNA, 70 nt
Filed under: Arbacia lixula (black urchin)
Lineage: Eukaryota; Metazoa; Echinodermata; Echinoidea; Arbacioida; Arbaciidae
Description: transfer RNA-Lys
Rfam family: tRNA
About the family: Transfer RNA (tRNA) molecules are approximately 80 nucleotides in length. Their secondary structure includes four short double-helical elements and three loops (D, anti-codon, and T loops). Further hydrogen bonds mediate the characteristic L-shaped molecular structure. tRNAs have two regions of fundamental functional importance: the anti-codon, which is responsible for specific mRNA codon recognition, and the 3' end, to which the tRNAs corresponding amino acid is attached (by aminoacyl-tRNA synthetases). tRNAs cope with the degeneracy of the genetic code in two manners: having more than one tRNA (with a specific anti-codon) for a particular amino acid; and 'wobble' base-pairing, i.e. permitting non-standard base-pairing at the 3rd anti-codon position.
Source: RNAcentral
CCUUAGUUAGCUUAUUUAAAGCUUUAAACUCUUAAUUUAAAAGAAGAUAGUUAAACCCUAUUACUAAGGA